Molecule: ribosomal RNA, 1554 nt
Filed under: Klebsiella quasipneumoniae
Lineage: Bacteria; Pseudomonadati; Pseudomonadota; Gammaproteobacteria; Enterobacterales; Enterobacteriaceae
Description: 16S ribosomal RNA
Rfam family: Bacterial small subunit ribosomal RNA
Source: RNAcentral
ACUUAAAUUGAAGAGUUUGAUCAUGGCUCAGAUUGAACGCUGGCGGCAGGCCUAACACAUGCAAGUCGAGCGGUAGCACAGAGAGCUUGCUCUCGGGUGACGAGCGGCGGACGGGUGAGUAAUGUCUGGGAAACUGCCUGAUGGAGGGGGAUAACUACUGGAAACGGUAGCUAAUACCGCAUAACGUCGCAAGACCAAAGUGGGGGACCUUCGGGCCUCAUGCCAUCAGAUGUGCCCAGAUGGGAUUAGCUAGUAGGUGGGGUAACGGCUCACCUAGGCGACGAUCCCUAGCUGGUCUGAGAGGAUGACCAGCCACACUGGAACUGAGACACGGUCCAGACUCCUACGGGAGGCAGCAGUGGGGAAUAUUGCACAAUGGGCGCAAGCCUGAUGCAGCCAUGCCGCGUGUAUGAAGAAGGCCUUCGGGUUGUAAAGUACUUUCAGCGGGGAGGAAGGCGAUAAGGUUAAUAACCUUGUCGAUUGACGUUACCCGCAGAAGAAGCACCGGCUAACUCCGUGCCAGCAGCCGCGGUAAUACGGAGGGUGCAAGCGUUAAUCGGAAUUACUGGGCGUAAAGCGCACGCAGGCGGUCUGUCAAGUCGGAUGUGAAAUCCCCGGGCUCAACCUGGGAACUGCAUUCGAAACUGGCAGGCUAGAGUCUUGUAGAGGGGGGUAGAAUUCCAGGUGUAGCGGUGAAAUGCGUAGAGAUCUGGAGGAAUACCGGUGGCGAAGGCGGCCCCCUGGACAAAGACUGACGCUCAGGUGCGAAAGCGUGGGGAGCAAACAGGAUUAGAUACCCUGGUAGUCCACGCCGUAAACGAUGUCGAUUUGGAGGUUGUGCCCUUGAGGCGUGGCUUCCGGAGCUAACGCGUUAAAUCGACCGCCUGGGGAGUACGGCCGCAAGGUUAAAACUCAAAUGAAUUGACGGGGGCCCGCACAAGCGGUGGAGCAUGUGGUUUAAUUCGAUGCAACGCGAAGAACCUUACCUGGUCUUGACAUCCACAGAACUUAGCAGAGAUGCUUUGGUGCCUUCGGGAACUGUGAGACAGGUGCUGCAUGGCUGUCGUCAGCUCGUGUUGUGAAAUGUUGGGUUAAGUCCCGCAACGAGCGCAACCCUUAUCCUUUGUUGCCAGCGGUCCGGCCGGGAACUCAAAGGAGACUGCCAGUGAUAAACUGGAGGAAGGUGGGGAUGACGUCAAGUCAUCAUGGCCCUUACGACCAGGGCUACACACGUGCUACAAUGGCAUAUACAAAGAGAAGCGACCUCGCGAGAGCAAGCGGACCUCAUAAAGUAUGUCGUAGUCCGGAUUGGAGUCUGCAACUCGACUCCAUGAAGUCGGAAUCGCUAGUAAUCGUAGAUCAGAAUGCUACGGUGAAUACGUUCCCGGGCCUUGUACACACCGCCCGUCACACCAUGGGAGUGGGUUGCAAAAGAAGUAGGUAGCUUAACCUUCGGGAGGGCGCUUACCACUUUGUGAUUCAUGACUGGGGUGAAGUCGUAACAAGGUAACCGUAGGGGAACCUGCGGUUGGAUCACCUCCUUACCUUAAAGAA